RNAcentral lists this small RNA (77 nucleotides) under Arabidopsis thaliana (thale cress). Its description in RNAcentral is "ATSL222740". The record is from RNAcentral. Lineage: Eukaryota; Viridiplantae; Streptophyta; Magnoliopsida; Brassicales; Brassicaceae.
GAUCUUUGAGUCAUCUUCUGUGUUCUCCAAUUCCAUAACUGCUGUGGGAUUGCCUAUAGUUCCAGUUGUAGCAGUGA